UGGGGAAUUUUGGACAAUGGGCGCAAGCCUGAUCCAGCAAUGCCGCGUGAGUGAAGAAGGCCUUCGGGUUGUAAAGCUCUUUUGUCAGGGAAGAAACGGUUCGAGUUAAUACCUUGGACUAAUGACGGUACCUGAAGAAUAAGCACCGGCUAACUACGUGCCAGCAGCCGCGGUAAUACGUAGGGUGCAAGCGUUAAUCGGAAUUACUGGGCGUAAAGCGUGCGCAGGCGGUUUUGUAAGACAGAUGUGAAAUGCCCGGGCUUAACCUGGGAACUGCAUUUGUGACUGCAAGGCUAGAAUCUGGCAGAGGGGGGUAGAAUUCCACGUGUAGCAGUGAAAUGCGUAGAUAUGUGGAGGAAUACCGAUGGCGAAGGCAGCCCCCUGGGCUAAGAUUGACGCUCAUGCACGAAAGCGUGGGGAGCAAACAGG
RNAcentral lists this ribosomal RNA (429 nucleotides) under uncultured bacterium. Its description in RNAcentral is "bacterial SSU rRNA". It matches the Rfam family "Bacterial small subunit ribosomal RNA", at positions 355 to 776 of the family's 1533-position model. The record is from RNAcentral.